RNAcentral lists this transfer RNA (84 nucleotides) under Caudoviricetes sp. RNAcentral's name for it is "tRNA-Leu". It matches the Rfam family "tRNA". Rfam says of the family: Transfer RNA (tRNA) molecules are approximately 80 nucleotides in length. The record is from RNAcentral. Lineage: Duplodnaviria; Heunggongvirae; Uroviricota; Caudoviricetes.
GUCCGAGUGUUGAAACAGGCAGACAAAACAGGCUUAAACCCUGUUGGCGGCAACGUCGUGCGGGUUCAAUCCCCGCCUCGGAUA